This 400-nucleotide ribosomal RNA is filed under the name Mogibacterium vescum. Its description in RNAcentral is "bacterial SSU rRNA". It matches the Rfam family "Bacterial small subunit ribosomal RNA", at positions 28 to 413 of the family's 1533-position model. The record is from RNAcentral. Lineage: Bacteria; Bacillati; Bacillota; Clostridia; Peptostreptococcales; Anaerovoracaceae.
GAUGAACGCUGGCGGCGUGCCUAAUACAUGCAAGUCGAGCGAGAUGUUAGCGCAUGAACCUUCGGGGGAUUAUGCUAACGGACAGCGGCGGACGGGUGAGUAACGCGUAGGCAACCUGCCCCUGACAGAGGGAUAGCCAUUGGAAACGAUGAUUAAAACCUCAUGACACCGUAGAAGCACAUGCUUCAUCGGUCAAAGAUUUAUCGGUCAGGGAUGGGCCUGCGUCUGAUUAACUAGUUGGUGAGGUAACGGCUCACCAAGGUGACGAUCAGUAGCCGACCUGAGAGGGUGAUCGGCCACAUUGGAACUGAGACACGGUCCAAACUCUACGGAGGCAGCAGUAGGGAAUCUUGCACAAUGGGCGAAAGCCUGAUGCAGCAACGCCGCGUGAAGGAUGAAG